This 1949-nucleotide unclassified non-coding RNA is filed under the name Acyrthosiphon pisum (pea aphid). Its description in RNAcentral is "uncharacterized LOC100166298, transcript variant X1". The record is from RNAcentral. Lineage: Eukaryota; Metazoa; Arthropoda; Insecta; Hemiptera; Aphididae.
UCAUUACACGAUAAUAUAAUUAUAUUUAGGCAACGAAAACCGGUAUACAUUUUAUUACAUUUUUGUAGUAUUAUAUAAGAGCGUGGCGGUCGGUGGCGGCGGCUCGUCGAAUGGUCUCCAUUGCUGACAUACACGGCGGCGAGCGGUCGCGAUAGUGAAUGUGCUGACGCCGCCCAAACAGUGUGCGCACACGAUGAACACCAUCCGUUCGUGUUUCGCCACCAUAGUCGCGUUUCUCGUCAUCGCGAUCGGCUGGUGGGCCACCGACGCUGUGGUCUGUUGCAACAGUAGUUCGGUCGCGACUGUCGGCGGAGACGUCGUCGCGUCAUGCCAGAACAAAAAUCGGACGUUCCACACGAUCGAGGCGAUCGGCGGUGUGACGUGCGAUGACGACCGGACGGCUGUGCCGGUCCGGAAGUGCUGUCCGCUGGGCCAGUCGUACAAUCCGAAAGAACGGUUCUGCCGACCAGGCAGGGCGGACGGUGACGAGCACCUGCAGCGGAUGGUGCAACUACUGAGGGACGAAUUCCGGGCGGUGGCCGAUGCGGUGAUGGUGGGUUACGACUAUGAGCAGCCACUGUGCGACGCAGCGGACGUGCUAGUCGACGUGCUCACCGUGGAGGUGAGUAGGCUGAUGGAUACGUACUCGUCAGUCCUCGAGUUGCCGCCGGGCUACUGCUUCGACCUGACGCCAUCCGAUGAGCUGGUGGCCCGGACGUGCCAGCCACGCGACCAGAUCUGCGGCCAGGAAAAUUACACGUGCGUCCACAAGUGCUGCAAGGGCGACCGGAUGAUAGUCGACGACCCCAAUGGUCCGCAGUGCAAGCAGAGCAUGAAGCCGUUUAAGAUGUACGCCUACGACCACUAUAGAUUCGAGGGCCCCAGCUCUAAUAGCCAUGGAGUGUCCCUCUCGGAUAACACGGUGCUGCCGUACUAUGUAGAAUUCAAUUGCUCACACGGGGACAAAGUGAACUUCGAGUUCGUGUUGACCGUGAAUGGCAGCCUUUACCUUUUUGACGAAGACCUGUACGUACCGGACACGGAAUACUGCGUGGAGUAUUCACCGGUGGCCAAGGGCAAUGUGGUGUUCAUAUGCGACGUUAACGCCGUAUUUAAGAUCCCACGUGUGCGUGACAGCUCGAUUCCCUUAUUCCAUCGGGCGAGUUACGUGGCGUCUGCCGUGUGUCUGGCGCUCACUCUGCUCGUGUACAACAUACUGCCCAGCCUCCGGAAUAUCCGCAACUACUACGUCAAGUGCUACAUCGGCCACCAGUUCGUGUCGUACGUCUGCGUAAUUGCCCAAAUUAGUAUGGAAAACGAAAAAGGCCGAAUGUGCGUUAUAUUCGGUUAUAUUAGUUUAUUUGUAUUUCUUUCAACAUUAUGCUGGUCAAACGUAAUAUGCUUCGAUAUUUACUGGAUGAUAAGGUACAACAUUUCAAUAAACAGAAAUACAUCAACAUCAGUACGUACCAUCAUGUACUAUUUUUACAGUUGGGGACUUCCAAGUAUUUUCGUAUGUUCUGGUUUUUUUUUUGAAUAUUCACAAAAAAAAUUUCUACAUGAAUUAGUACCCAAUUUUGAAGCAUAUGGUUGCUUUUACUACAAUUUGAAUAUUGUAAAUUUUGGCUCGGUGUAUAGAUAUGUCUGGCUUGGGAAGUGUAGUUUUCAUCAUGUUACCAGUGUUUGUUAUACUGACUGUCAAUUUAGUUUUGUUCAGGGUAACUUCUAAUCAUUCUUCAAGAAUUAAAUCUGAACUGAAUGAAUUAAAUCGAACAGACUCAAAUACAGAAAAUGUUCUUCUUCACAAAGAGAAAUUUGUAAUGAGCUUCAAACUAUUUCUGAUUAUGGGAAUUCCAUAUUUUUUUACGUUACUAUCUAUUAUAUUACAAAUUGAAGGAGCAAUACGGUACAUUCUUUAUGCAGCUAGCAGUCUACAAGGUGUAUUUAUA